Molecule: ribosomal RNA, 462 nt
Filed under: Candidatus Roizmanbacteria bacterium RIFCSPHIGHO2_02_FULL_37_9b
Lineage: Bacteria; Candidatus Roizmaniibacteriota
Description: bacterial SSU rRNA
Rfam family: Bacterial small subunit ribosomal RNA
Source: RNAcentral
UUUUUUUAAGAGUUUGAUCCUGGCUCAGGAUGAACGUUGGUGGCGUGCCUGAGAUAUGCAAGUCGAGCGCACAUAGUGCGCAACAUUCAACCUCCAACAUCAAUUUGUUGAAUUAUGGUAGUUGGAAAUUGGAUGUUGUGCAUUGUGUCAGCGGCGGACGGCUGAGUAACACGUAGGAACUUACCCCAAAAUAAGGAAUAGCCCCGCGAAAGCGGGGAUAAUACCUUAUAGUGAGAGGUACCAUACGGUACCUCCCUAAAGGCCUUAACUGGUCGUUUUGGGACAGUCCUGCGGCCUAUCAGGUAGUUGGUAGGGUAAUGGCCUACCAAGCCUAUGACAGGUAGCUGGCCCGAGAGGGUGUUCAGCCAGAGGGGUACUGAGAUACGGACCCCAUUUCUACGGAAAGCAGCAAUCAGGAAUAGUCGGCAAUGGGCGAAAGCCUGACCGCGCAACGCCGCGUGC